Molecule: ribosomal RNA, 483 nt
Filed under: uncultured bacterium
Lineage: Bacteria
Description: partial 16S ribosomal RNA
Rfam family: Bacterial small subunit ribosomal RNA
Source: RNAcentral
AUUGAACGCUGGCGGCAGGCCUAACACAUGCAAGUCGAGCGGAUGAAGGGAGCUUGCUCCUGGAUUCAGCGGCGGACGGGUGAGUAAUGCCUAGGAAUCUGCCUGGUAGUGGGGAUAACGUCCGGAAACGGGCGCUAAUACCGUAUACGUCCUGAGGGAGAAAGUGGGGGAUCUUCGGACCUCACGCUAUCAGAUGAGCCUAGGUCGGAUUAGCUAGUUGGUGGGGUAAAGGCCUACCAAGGCGACGAUCCGUAACUGGUCUGAGAGGAUGAUCAGUCACACUGGAACUGAGACACGGUCCAGACUCCUACGGGAGGCAGCAGUGGGGAAUAUUGGACAAUGGGCGAAAGCCUGAUCCAGCCAUGCCGCGUGUGUGAAGAAGGUCUUCGGAUUGUAAAGCACUUUAAGUUGGGAGGAAGGGCAGUAAGUUAAUACCUUGCUGUUUUGACGUUACCAACAGAAUAAGCACCGGCUAACUUCGUG